This 254-nucleotide ribosomal RNA is filed under the name uncultured bacterium. RNAcentral's name for it is "partial 16S ribosomal RNA". It matches the Rfam family "Bacterial small subunit ribosomal RNA", at positions 524 to 776 of the family's 1533-position model. The record is from RNAcentral.
GACGAACCGUGCGAACGUUAUUCGGAAUCACUGGGCUUAAAGCGCGUGUAGGCGGGACGGCACGUCGGUCGCUGAAAUCCCCCGGCUUAACCGGGGAACGGGCGCCGAUACGACCGGCCUGGAGGGACGUAGGGGGACCUGGAACUUCCGGUGGAGCGGUGAAAUGCGUUGAGAUCGGAAGGAACGCCCGUGGCGAAAGCGAGGUCCUGGACGUUUUCUGACGCUGAGACGCGAAAGCCAGGGGAGCGAACGGG